RNAcentral lists this ribosomal RNA (254 nucleotides) under uncultured prokaryote. Its description in RNAcentral is "partial 16S ribosomal RNA". It matches the Rfam family "Bacterial small subunit ribosomal RNA", at positions 524 to 776 of the family's 1533-position model. The record is from RNAcentral.
CACGUAUGGAGCAAGCGUUAUCCGGAUUUACUGGGUGUAAAGGGUGCGCAGGUGGUCUGGUAAGUCAGAAGUGAAAACCCGGGGCUCAACCCCGUGGAUUGCUUUUGAAACUAUUAGACUAGAGUCCAGGAGAGGUAAGCGGAAUUCCUAGUGUAGCGGUGAAAUGCGUAGAUAUUAGGAGGAACACCAGUGGCGAAGGCGGCUUACUGGACUGGUACUGACACUGAGGCACGAAAGCGUGGGGAGCAAACAGG